CCCACAACCACCACCACCACCAACAAAAGAAAAGAGCUCAGGGACAGUGCCCAGGCCCUGAUUUCAAGCUCCACGACCACCACCACCACUAAAAAAAUACAACUAUAAGAAUAUAGAAAUUCUUGCAACUAAGGUUGCCACUUUUAAUAUUGCAUUGUAUAAUAUACUCAGAAGGCUCAUUGCUGAAUAAUGGGUGCCUCCUUUCAAGUUUCUUUUUGUGACUAAAAGGAAGGGAGACAGCAGAGUAUAAACUUUUCCCUAUAUAGUUAUAACAAAUAGAUAUUUAGUAAAUGAUCUUUAAAAUAAAAAUGAAAUUAAGUAUAUUAUUAAGUUUGAUUUAAUUGAAAAGUCUAUACAUGAUUAAAAAAAACUAAAUUUUGCAAAGGACUGUGAGGACUGUUAACUACUCCAUACUCCAUCUUAGAGUCCACCCUCAUAGAUGUUGACUUAUAUAUCCUUUCAAAAUACUCCAUGCAUUCAGAAGUGUAUAUGUCACUUUUUUUUAUUACUCUGAUAAAACACCCAAGAUAACAACUUAAGAGAGAACAAUUCAUUUUGACUCAUGGUUUCAGAAGUGUCAGUACAUCAUGGCAGAGGGGCAUGGUGAAGAUGAAAUAUUUACAUCAUGUCUGAAAGGAAGCAGAGAAAAAGGGAAUGCGAGAAGGGACCAGGGCAUAGUCCUAGAAGGUGUACUCCCAGUGAACUAUUUCCUCCAACGAGGCCCCAGAUUCUACC
This is a long non-coding RNA of Perognathus longimembris pacificus (Pacific pocket mouse), 735 nucleotides long. RefSeq lists it as uncharacterized. The record is from RefSeq and is a predicted model, not a curated record. The transcript is spliced from 2 exons. Lineage: Eukaryota; Metazoa; Chordata; Mammalia; Rodentia; Heteromyidae.